Long non-coding RNA from Perca flavescens (yellow perch), 269 nucleotides. RefSeq lists it as uncharacterized. The transcript is spliced from 3 exons. The record is from RefSeq and is a predicted model, not a curated record. Lineage: Eukaryota; Metazoa; Chordata; Actinopteri; Perciformes; Percidae.
GGGUCAUAAAAGCAUAAUAUCCUCUGGUCUUACAGAAAAAGAAGAAAGUCGUUGUCAGCCUCUCAGACGCAGAUUUAUUCCCUGUUUGUGUGGCACUGACGCUCUGAGACCAUGCAGCUGACUCUUCCCAUCCUGGCUCUUUGCCUUCUUGGCACAGUAUCCCUGGGUGAAGCACAAACAACUAUUACUACUAAACCACCUGACACAACCACAACCACAACCUCAGCAACUACUACUACUAAACCACCUGACACAACCACAACCACAAC